CACCUGCUCCGUCUCAGCCACGGGUAUUCUUGGGUAGAUAAUACGGAUGUCGUUGUUAUUGCUUGAGAAUACGCGUAGCUGGGUGGAGUCCCU
Molecule: microRNA precursor, 93 nt
Filed under: Lepisosteus oculatus (spotted gar)
Lineage: Eukaryota; Metazoa; Chordata; Actinopteri; Semionotiformes; Lepisosteidae
Description: Danio rerio miR-137-1 stem-loop (ENSLOCG00000020232.1)
Rfam family: mir-137 microRNA precursor family (bases 13-83)
Source: RNAcentral